Molecule: long non-coding RNA, 456 nt
Organism: Ornithodoros turicata
Lineage: Eukaryota; Metazoa; Arthropoda; Arachnida; Ixodida; Argasidae
Exons: 3
Source: RefSeq, a predicted model, not a curated record
GAGCAAACACAGGAGCCUCAUGGUGCAUCAGAUAUGCCAGUGGAAGAUGUGUCUCUUCAGUCACAAGAACAACCACAGGAACCCUGCGUUCUUUCGGAGCCACCUGGCACACCUGACACACCAGUUUCCCCACCUUCACCUGUUCCAAGACCAUCUCAUGUUCCUAUACCAUCUACCAAUACCUUAACAGGUGUUUUUUUUUUUGCCACAGCAUUUUCAUGGAAUUCCUGCUCGCUUUUGUAUUUUUUUUUAGAUCCUUGCAGCAGUGUGGGUGAUACACCAACCACUGCAAACCUGGACCGGCUGUCACCACCCACCCUUGGAGGUGCCGACAUUUGCUCCCAGUCACCUGUGUUGGCUCCUGAUUCAUUGGGUUCAUCUGGUAUGUGGUCAUUUACCAUUAUGCUGCCUGUACGAAUUAUUUGCCUACUGAGAACGAAAUGGUAGCAGUAAAGA